ACUGCUCAGUAACACGUGGACAAUCUGCCCUGAAGUGGAGAAUAAUCCCGGGAAACUGGGGGUAAUACUCCAUAGUUCGUUAUUACUGGAAUGUAUUUCGAACGAAAGAUCCGUCGCUUCAGGAUGAGUCUGCGGCCGAUUAGGUAGUUGUUGGGGUAAUUGCCCAACAAGCCUGUCAUCGGUACGGGUUGUGGGAGCAAGAGCCCGGAGAUGGAUUCUGAGACACGAAUCCAGGCCCUACGGGGCGCAGCAGGCGCGAAAACUUUACAAUGCUGGCAACAGCGAUAAGGGAACCUCGAGUGCCAGGUUACAAAUCUGGCUGUCGAGAUGCCUAAAAAGCAUUUCAUAGCAAGGGCCGGGCAAGACCGGUGCCAGCCGCCGCGGUAACACCGGCGGCUCGAGUGGUAACCGUUAUUAUUGGGUCUAAAGGGUCUGUAGCCGGCCGGAUAAGUCUCUUGAGAAAUCUGGCAGCUUAACUGUCAGGCUUUCAGGAGAUACUGUCUGGCUCGAGGCCGGGAGAGGUGAGAGGCACUUCAGGGGUAGGGGUGAAAUCUUGUAAUCCUUGAAGGACCACCAGUGGCGAAGGCGUCUCACCAGAACGGACCUGACGGCAAGGGACGAAAGCUAGGGGCACGAACCGGAUUAGAUACCCGGGUAGUCCUAGCCGUAAACGAUACUCGCUAGGUGUCGGCCACGGUGCGACCGUUGUCGGUGCCGUAGGGAAGCCGUGAAGCGAGCCACCUGGGAAGUACGGCCGCAAGGCUGAAACUUAAAGGAAUUGGCGGGGGAGCAC
This 793-nucleotide ribosomal RNA is filed under the name uncultured archaeon. RNAcentral describes it as "bacterial SSU rRNA". It matches the Rfam family "Archaeal small subunit ribosomal RNA", at positions 85 to 879 of the family's 1478-position model. The record is from RNAcentral.